Molecule: ribosomal RNA, 465 nt
Filed under: uncultured bacterium
Lineage: Bacteria
Description: partial 16S ribosomal RNA
Rfam family: Bacterial small subunit ribosomal RNA
Source: RNAcentral
GAUGAACGCUGGCGGCGUGCUUAACACAUGCAAGUCGAACGGAAAGGCCCAAGCUUGCUUGGGUACUCGAGUGGUGAACGGGUGAGUAACACGUGGGUGAUCUGCCCUGCACUUCGGGAUAAGCCUGGGAAACUGGGUCUAAUACCGGAUAGGACCACAUUUUGGAUGGUGUGGUGGAAAGUUUUUCGGUGUGGGAUGAGCUCGCGGCCUAUCAGCUUGUUGGUGGGGUAAUGGCCUACCAAGGCGUCGACGGGUAGCCGGCCUGAGAGGGUGUACGGCCACAUUGGGACUGAGAUACGGCCCAGACUCCUACGGGAGGCAGCAGUGGGGAAUAUUGCACAAUGGGCGCAAGCCUGAUGCAGCGACGCCGCGUGGGGGAUGACGGCCUUCGGGUUGUAAACUCCUUUCGCUAGGGACGAAGCGCAAGUGACGGUACCUGGAGAAGAAGCACCGGCUAACUACGUG